This 414-nucleotide ribosomal RNA is filed under the name Triticum aestivum (bread wheat). RNAcentral's name for it is "partial small subunit ribosomal RNA". Lineage: Eukaryota; Viridiplantae; Streptophyta; Magnoliopsida; Poales; Poaceae. The record is from RNAcentral.
AUGGCUGCGGCGGCGGCAGAGCGGACGCCGGUGUUCAUGAAGGUGGGAGAUCUCAGGCCCGGGACGUCGACCGGCCACACGCUUCUCGUUAAGGUGCUAAGCUCCAAGAUCAAGACCGAGACCAAGACCGUGGUGACCCGCUUUGGCCCGGCGGCGAGGCCCACGAGGAUCGCCGAGUGCCUCGUCGGUGAUGAGACGGGAUGCAUCCUCUUUACCGCCCGCAACAACCAGGUUGACAUGCUGAAGCCCGGCAACACCGUUAUUCUUUGGGAUGCAAAGCUUGGCAUGCCCAAGGGGAUAAUGAAGCUAGCUGUUGACAAACGGGGGCUUGUUGAUGUCACUGAACCGGCAAGCUUCGAUGUGAAGGAGGACAACAAUUUCUCACUUGUGGAGUACGAGUAUGUACAGGUCUAG